This 385-nucleotide ribosomal RNA is filed under the name uncultured bacterium. RNAcentral describes it as "bacterial SSU rRNA". It matches the Rfam family "Bacterial small subunit ribosomal RNA", at positions 370 to 772 of the family's 1533-position model. The record is from RNAcentral.
AAUGGGGGCAACCCUGAUCCAGCCAUGCCGCGUGAGUGACGAAGGCCUUCGGGUUGUAAAGCUCUUUCGGAUGUGAAGAUAAUGACAGUAGCAUAAGAAGAAGCUCCGGCUAAACUCGUGCCAGCAGCCGCGGUAAUACGAGUGGAGCGAGCGUUGUUCGGAAUCACUGGGCGUAAAGCGUGCGCAGGCGGUCAUGUAAGUCGGGAGUGAAAUCCCAGGGCUUAACCCUGGAAUUGCUCUCGAAACUGCGUGACUCGAAUCCCGGAGAGGUUGGCGGAAUUCUCAGUGUAGAGGUGAAAUUCGCAGAUAUUGAGAGGAACACCAGUGGCGUAAGCGGCCAACUGGACGGGUAUUGACGCUCAGGCACGAAAGCGUGGGGAUCAAA